CCUACUCCUACACCUACUCUUAUCACUUGUAAUCCAAAAAAGCUCCAUUUCUUUCUUAUACGCUAAUUCACUAUUAAAUAGAAAUGUAUAUGCAAAACAGCGAGAAAUUUGUAGAUACGUUGAAUGUUGUUGCUUUCACAUUUGCAACUCUUAGUAGUUGUUCAAAACAACAAUGUCGAGCAAAGAUGUUUGCGAUGUUUGAAUGAUUCUUGGAUUGUAUUUGGAUUCCAUCGGUACUAUGGCCUGUUGAUUCGGCACCUUUGUCAUUUUAGCAACUUUUGUUUUCUUUUCUGUGUCGAUGUAGUUCUCUAUACCAUAUUCAUGUUCAUAUUCAUGUUCAUAUUCAUGUUCAUAUCAAUGUCCAUAUCAAUGUCCAUAUCAAUUUCCCAUGUUCCAUUACAUAUCCCGUGUUCUUUCCUUCUUCCAGCUUUUACAUGCUAGCCUUUUAUACAAUGAUUCCUCUCAUCUCGACUCGCUUGAUGAAUGGGCGUUUAGUUUUUGCAACAACAUAUGCGUUGGGUUAUCUCAUAUCGGGAAACACUUUCUGCCACUUUUAACUUGAACAAAGUUGGNAGAAAUAAAGUGAUGGCAGAUAUUGCAAGUUGUUUAUAGUGUGCCUGUAGAAAUGUAAAAACGCUAUGUUUCGUGAAUGCCCAGCCUGUAAANCGAAAAUAAGAUUUCGUAUUUAUUNAAGCAUUNGGAAGAUCACAAUUGGAAAAAACAACGAUACGGNUGGGNCUCUUCACAGGUCGUUCCCCNGGUAAUCACNAAACAUGAAAACCUAAAAAUACGGGUA
This 796-nucleotide small RNA is filed under the name Schizosaccharomyces pombe (fission yeast). Its description in RNAcentral is "small heterochromatic RNA precursor". The record is from RNAcentral. Lineage: Eukaryota; Fungi; Ascomycota; Schizosaccharomycetes; Schizosaccharomycetales; Schizosaccharomycetaceae.